Molecule: ribosomal RNA, 494 nt
Filed under: uncultured bacterium
Lineage: Bacteria
Description: partial 16S ribosomal RNA
Rfam family: Bacterial small subunit ribosomal RNA
Source: RNAcentral
GACGAACGCUGGCGGCGCGCUUAACACAUGCAAGUCGAACGGAAAGGCCUGCUUUCCCUUGUGGAUUGCGGGUACUCGAGUGGCGAACGGGUGAGUAACACGUGAGUGAUCUGCCCCCAACUUGGGUAUAGGCCUGGGAAACUGGGUCUAAUUCCCGAUAGGACUGCAGGGUGGUGCCUGUGGUGGAAAACGAUUUUCUAGUGGUUGGGGAUGAGCUCGCGGCCUAUCAGCUUGUUGGUGGGGUAAUGGCCUACCAAGGCGGCGACGGGUAGCCGGCCUGAGAGGGUGGACGGCCACAUUGGGACUGAGAGACGGCCCAGACUCCUACGGGAGGCAGCAGUGGGGAAUAUUGCACAAUGGGAGGAAGCAUGAUGCAGCGACGCCGCGUGGGGGAUGACGGCCUUCGGGUUGUAAACUCCUUUCGACCGCGAGGAAGCCACCUGGUUGGAAGGGUGGUGACGGUAGUGGUAGAAGAAGCACCGGCUAACUACGUA